RNAcentral lists this unclassified non-coding RNA (219 nucleotides) under uncultured Clavariaceae. Its description in RNAcentral is "sequence contains ITS2". Lineage: Eukaryota; Fungi; Basidiomycota; Agaricomycetes; Agaricales; Clavariaceae. The record is from RNAcentral.
ACAUAUCAAACUAACAAGUUUGCUUGUUGGUAUUGGAUGUUGAGGGUUGCUGGGUUUGAUAAUCAGCUCCCUUUAAAUAUAUUAGCUUGGAAUGUAUGAGCCAUUUUAGCUUAGGCUGAUAUGAAUACAGUUUAUUAAAUGCUUUUGCUAGAGUGUUGCUUGUCUAAGCUUAUAACUGUCUUUAUAAUAAGACUGUCUCUUUGACAUCUUAAAUCUUGA